Rattus norvegicus (Norway rat) is the source of this 3434-nucleotide non-coding RNA. Lineage: Eukaryota; Metazoa; Chordata; Mammalia; Rodentia; Muridae. The record is from RefSeq and is a predicted model, not a curated record.
UUCCAUAGUUUAGGCCGAGAACAGUUGAAUUCUCAUGUCUAAAUCUGCUCGAGUCACUUGUAACAAAACUGUAUAGACUGCAUGGCUUUGAAACAAAGCAGUUAUUUCUGAUAGCUUUGAGACUGGAAGUCUGAAGCGAAGGUGCUAACUAACACGCUCCCCUGAGGCAAGCAGCUCCUUUCUCCAUCCUACCACAGUGAUAUUCCUCUUCAUCAUGACCCUGAAACAAUGGAGCCAGAUGACCAUCUAUGAGCCACAAUGGAUUUCUCUUCUUUGAUUUUUUGAUAAUCCAUUUUGUUCCAAGAACAUCUCAGGUUCUCUAAUACAGUUGAUUCUGUGUUCAGGUUCACAGAUCCUCUGCUUAAGGUUUCAAGGCCAAAGUGAAAGUGUUCCAAAGGAAUUGAGUGUGCAUAAUAACACACUGGAAAUAAUCUCAUAAAUUCCGUUCCAGAGAAAGUGCAUGGCAGAAGAGUCAACACAAUUUUACACAUUGUGGAGAAGGUUCUGGCUUUUUCCUUAUCUUCAUGUAAGACACUUCUCAAGGAAAAAGACAAAAUACCAUGGGAUGACCUGUAACUCUGGAGCUGGUUAUUUGUCAGUGGAGAAGUGACCUUUUUCUUCACUCCCUCUGACAGCACUGUGGGGAGAGUCAGGAGAGGAGCUUGGCAGGCAGUGGGAGAUGACAUUUACUGAGCUCCUACUGUCUACAAGUAUCUGAGUUGCACGGCUACCUAUAACACCUCCAAUCCAUUCUAAUGUCACUGUAGGAGGUAUUGUUAUAUAUGUUUGUAUUUUAUAGUUAAGGGAACUAUAGAGCACUGCUAAAUAACUUCCCUCAAAUCAGACAAGUUAUGCAUGAUGGUCAGAAUUUCAAUCGGGUUAAUCUAAAUCUACAUCUAUAGCUCUUAGUCAUUGCUUCUCAAACUAAGAGGAUCGUGGAGUAUGGGAAUGUCACCAAGAAGCUAUGGGACAAAAGAAUUUAUCUUUCUUGUGUCUGAUAUCUCUUUAACAGAAUGGGAACAAGAAUAUCACUUCCUAGAUUAUAAGAAUUAGUAUGAUGAAGGCACCAAGGCAUGAACCAGUAGAAACAUCAGCUCUCUCUCUAAUUUUUUUUAAACAAGCUUCCAUCCAGAACCUCUUGGGUGACUUUUCUUAUGCCCUAAAGCAUUAAUUUAUGGGAUAUUUGUAGGGCAGUUAUUAUGUGAACAAAGAUGUGGUCCUGGCAGUGGGGUGGUAGGAAGGGGCUAUAGAUGAUUGAUAAGCCAGGUACAAACUUUAUACCUCCAAAUGCAAGCCUGAAUCCAACAUGUCCCAUUGACUAUGACUCUUCUUGGAUGCUUCUACUCUUUGUCACUUGCCAUUUUCAUGUGUUUUGGAGUCAAAGGUUUGGGUGAUUUUCUCCACAUACUUCUAGACACCAAAAUCAUUAUUUAAGCCUUCUCUAGGUUCUAGGGAUUCUGCAUGCAAAAUGUCUUGUGUCCCCAUGAUGCUUGUUUAAUGUAGUUUGGUGGCACCUCUAUCCUUGACUAUGUUUCACAAAGGGGUUCCUUUUCUGUCAGUCUUGGUACCAUAGUCUUAGUAGCUUUUUCCUGCCUUCAGGCCCAUGCCUUGCCUUCAGGAUAUUCAGUCUUUAGGACAUACAGAAUGCUGUUCUCUCUGAUAUUGUCAUCCUAUCUUCAUUUCCCAGAAACCUUAGCUUCUCGGCCUCAAUCUGCUUAUUCUGGUGACUCACACCUUUAGGAACAUGGUCAGGACACCUCUUCCUCUUCAUCUCCUUUGCCUCCUCUUCCUCCUGUUCCUCUCUUUCUUCCUCCUCCUUUUCCUCCUCAUCUUCCUUUGAUCAGAAUGGAACCUAUCAGCUUCCAUUUCAAGGGCGUCUACUCAUCCUUUCCAACUGAGCUGAGAAAAAAGCCUAGGAAGAACAUUUUUUCUGCUCCCUAGUGUAAGCAAAGCCCAUUUUUUUGUGAUCUGUCUGUUUUAAUACUUCAACAAAUUGGAGAGCAAGCAGUUGCAGUCUAAGCCCUUUAAAACUAAGAAUAUGAGAUGGGAGAAUGAGGGAACUGCUGGGUGGAGGCCUUUGGGCUCUCAAGAGGCCCAUGGCUUUCAGAGAUGAUGUCUCAUGUGAGCAAAAAGCCCGGUAGGUAAUGCCUCUGGGCUGAUUGUUGGAGCCUUAGGGUUCAGUCCUUUCUACAGCUAGAACAAGUCAGUAUCUUUAUUUCAAGAUCAUUCCCUCUGAUGUUUCUCCCCUGAAAUGCCACUUCUAUUGAGACACAAGGAGAUGCAUGUCCAAGGGGGCCUUGACCGAUUCAAAGGCUAUGUGAUCAAUCAGAAAGGGUUGAGUUUCUUGUGAAUCUGAUCUGAGGGGUUCUGGACAGACAGCAGCAAAUGUCAUCACCUAUUCCAGACUGAGUCACCCUGCCUCUUCCUCUUUGCCUGCUGGUUUUUCCCUUGUCCCAGAAUUCUACAAUAUGCAGAUAAAAGCUCUAAAUUAAUCAGGCCUCAUAUGUGAGACCCUUGAUCCAAAUCCCAGAAGGACAGAAAAAGAAGAAGAAGGAGGAGGAGGAGGAAGAAGGGAGGAGGAAGAGGGGGAGCUGGAGGGGGAGGAGGAGGAGGAGAAGGAGAAAGAGAAGGAGAAGGAGAAGGAGGAGGAGGAGGAGGAGGAGGAGGAGGAGGAGAAGAAGAAGAAGAAGAAGAAGAAGAAGAAGAAGAAGAAGAAGAAGAAGAAGAAGAAGAAGAAGAGUUCCUAAGCUCUUCUUUCCUACAUCUUUUCUACCAGGCCCAAGAGCUCUUCCUAGAGAUCCAGGAGGGCUCCGGUGGUGGCACCAGGUAGACCUGGUCUCAAGGAUGGGUGUGGUAUGAUGCAUCCUCAGCAGAAACUCUAAAGCCCUUCUGUUGUGGAUUCCAGGGGCCUAGAGAGUGGAUAUGGGUAAACUGAGGGCUUUUUUUAAUUUGUUGAUACCUGGGACCUACUUGUAAAUUUGUUGAUGAGGAUUUUAUAUCCCAUAGUUUAGUACAAAUUAUUAGGAGGAAGCCAGGGAGAACCAUGGAAAUAACUGCCAUGGAAGUCUGUAAGAAAAGUCAUUCCCUCAAAGCAGUUCCCUGCUAGUUUCUAUCCUGUUAACAGAAAUAAAAAUGAUGCCUCUGGUGGAGUGAAGCAGCUUCCAAUCAGUUUCCCAUCCUUUCCUUAAUUUGAUUCUCUACCAAUUCUGGGAAGAUAAGCAAUAUGGUCCCUACUUCAUAAAUGAGGAAACCGGCAUAGAACAGCCAUUUGCGUGUAAGUGAUUACAUUUGGCUGUCUUUUGUUUGUUUGCUUUUGUCAGUGUAGGGACUGAACUGCCACCCAAGGCUCUACCACCAAGCUACAUCUCCAGACUCUAGGUUAACAAGCUCUUGUUUGACGAGGUCCAGCUGCAUCAGUCAGGUCAUUUCCAGAG